GUGGGGAAUCUUGCGCAAUGGGCGAAAGCCUGACGCAACCAUGCCGCGUGAAUGAUGAAGGUCUUAGGAUUGUAAAAUUCUUUCACCGGGGACGAUAAUGACGGUACCCGGAGAAGAAGCCCCGGCUAACUUCGUGCCAGCAGCCGCGGUAAUACGAAGGGGGCUAGCGUUGCUCGGAAUUACUGGGCGUAAAGGGCGCGUAGGCGGACAGUUUAGUCAGAGGUGAAAGCCCAGGGCUCAACCUUGGAAUUGCCUUUGAUACUGGCUGUCUUGAGUACGGGAGAGGUGAGUGGAACUCCGAGUGUAGAGGUGAAAUUCGUAGAUAUUCGGAAGAACACCAGUGGCGAAGGCGACUCACUGGCCCGUUACUGACGCUGAGGCGCGAAAGCGUGGGGAGCAAACAGGAUUAGAAACCCGAGUAGUCC
Molecule: ribosomal RNA, 425 nt
Filed under: uncultured bacterium
Lineage: Bacteria
Description: partial 16S ribosomal RNA
Rfam family: Bacterial small subunit ribosomal RNA
Source: RNAcentral